AGAGUUUGAUCCUGGCUCAGAACGAACGCUGGCGGCGUGGAUAAGACAUGCAAGUCGAACGAGGCUAGCUCGGUAGCAAUACCGGGUUGGCUUAGUGGCGAACGGGUGCGUAACACGUGACCAACCUUCCCAAAAGUGGGGAAUAGCUCGCCGAAAGGCGAAUUAAUACCGCAUGUACCUCAAAGCAAUUUGAGGCAAAG
This 200-nucleotide ribosomal RNA is filed under the name uncultured bacterium. Its description in RNAcentral is "partial 16S ribosomal RNA". It matches the Rfam family "Bacterial small subunit ribosomal RNA", at positions 8 to 206 of the family's 1533-position model. The record is from RNAcentral.